UUUUGGUGCGAAAGCUUAAUAGGGAAUCAGGUGAAAGACCUGAACAGUCCCGCUGCUGUAAGUCGCAUUAUUGACACAAGCCCACAGUCACUGAGUAAUCGGGAAGACAUUUGUUGUCAGGCGACAAGUCAGAAGACCUGCCAAAGCGUAU
Molecule: non-coding RNA, 151 nt
Filed under: uncultured Phocaeicola sp.
Lineage: Bacteria; Pseudomonadati; Bacteroidota; Bacteroidia; Bacteroidales; Bacteroidaceae
Source: RNAcentral